CAUGUAGGCGGCUUAAUAAGUCGAGCGUGAAAAUGCGGGGCUCAACCCCGUAUGGCGCUGGAAACUGUUAGGCUUGAGUGCAGGAGAGGAAAGGGGAAUUCCCAGUGUAGCGGUGAAAUGCGUAGAUAUCGGGAGGAACACCAGUGGCGAAGGCGCCUUUCUGGACUGUGUCUGACGCUGAGAUGCGAAAGCCAGGGUAGCGAACG
Molecule: ribosomal RNA, 206 nt
Filed under: uncultured bacterium
Lineage: Bacteria
Description: partial 16S ribosomal RNA
Rfam family: Bacterial small subunit ribosomal RNA
Source: RNAcentral